RNAcentral lists this ribosomal RNA (289 nucleotides) under uncultured Glomeromycotina. RNAcentral describes it as "partial large subunit ribosomal RNA". Lineage: Eukaryota; Fungi; Glomeromycota. The record is from RNAcentral.
UUAAUUCACUUUCUAAUCUAUUUGCUAACUAAUUCAAACAACAAAAGCAAGCUGUUGCUAUCUGAACGUCAACAAGAGACCAGACGGAACUGCCCUAAAGGUAUUCGUUGCAAACCUCAAUCCCAAUCGCCACAUUCCGCUAAGGGUUAUAACACUCCCGAAGGAGCCACAUCCCCUCGACCUUUUUACGACAAUCGAAAUUGAUGCUGACCAGCAGACACCAAAAUACACGGCUAUGUCGAUUCUUAACACUUUCGUGUCAAGCACCUCCAUAGCCGUUGAGUUAGUG